Molecule: long non-coding RNA, 441 nt
Filed under: Heterocephalus glaber (naked mole-rat)
Lineage: Eukaryota; Metazoa; Chordata; Mammalia; Rodentia; Bathyergidae
Description: lncRNA (ENSHGLG00100048729.1)
Source: RNAcentral
GCUGAAUGAAGGCACAGCUCACAAUCUAUAAGAUGAGGCAAGACUGCCAUAAAGAUUUUAUGAGUCCAAGAGAAACAUCACUCAAGCAGGAUUUAUUUCAAAAGCAUCACUUUGAAACCGUGGGAUGUUGCUUAAAGGGGAAGCAAAGCUCAUCCUGAGGCUUGAAAGAGGAUUCAGAAUCACAUACUUCAAACCUCUGCUCAAGGACACCUCUAGCUAAUGUGUCUGCCACUUAUCAAGACCUUUUCCCUCAAGAUGGACAAUUAACUACCCAUGAACCGGUGCUGUAUUCCUCUCAGUUGGCCAUGUGCUGGUGUAAAAGAGUCAGAGGCUGGUAAGGUGAUUUUGAAGCAUAAAGUGGGGGUGUGGCAUCCCUGGGCCCUAAGCCCUGAGUUGAUUGCAUCUGUAGGAGGUGAACAGCCAAAUGUGGAUGGAAACAAG